AACGAACGCUGGCGGCAGGCUUAACACAUGCAAGUCGAACGCGUGUAGCAAUACACGAGUGGCGCACGGGUGAGUAACACGUGGAUAUCUGCCCUUUGGUUCGGAAUAACCCUGGGAAACUAGGGCUAAUACCGAAUGGUUCCUACGGGAUAAAGAUUUAUCGCCAAAAGAUGAGUCCGCGUCCGAUUAGCUAGUUGGUGAGGUAACGGCUCACCAAGGCGACGAUCGGUAGCNGGUCUGAGAGGACGAUCAGCCACACUGGGACUGAGACACGGCCCAGACUCCUACGGGAGGCAGCAGUGGGGAAUAUUGGACAAUGGGGGCGAACCCU
This 331-nucleotide ribosomal RNA is filed under the name uncultured bacterium. Its description in RNAcentral is "bacterial SSU rRNA". It matches the Rfam family "Bacterial small subunit ribosomal RNA", at positions 29 to 384 of the family's 1533-position model. The record is from RNAcentral.